Molecule: non-coding RNA, 117 nt
Organism: Marinosulfonomonas sp. PRT-SC04
Lineage: Bacteria; Pseudomonadati; Pseudomonadota; Alphaproteobacteria; Rhodobacterales; Paracoccaceae
Source: Rfam
AGCAUAUUUUGCCCAGGCGGAGCUCGACCGCCCGUUCCGCAAAUGGUGAGUUUCAUAGAAGAUCACCGUGAUGUUUUUGGUGUCGGGCCGGUUUGCAGGGUUUUGCCAAUCGCACCA